CUUCAAGAAAGCCCAUCUCAGCUCUGUCACCACAGACAGACAUGGUGGAUGGCGACCAUAAAUCUUCCAGCUCACAGAAGGCUUACAAGAUUGUGCUUGCUGGGGAUGCUGCAGUGGGGAAGUCUAGUUUCCUCAUGAGGCUCUGCAAGAAUGAAUUUCGAGGAAAUACAAGUGCCACCCUGGGGAAGUGAAAACAAGGAUCGAUGAAGAUGACAGCAAAUCCAUCACCAAACUGACCGGGACCAGUUCCAGAAAGUCAGCGCAGACGAAGAACUGUUGCAGUAGUUAAAUCCCAAACAUCCAUGGCCUGUCAGGUCUUCAGGCCCAGAGUCCUGGGUGUCUGUGACGAGUUUGCUUCUCACAGAGGCGUGCGUCCUCCAGACAUGACCAGGUGGAAGCUGACAGUGUGGGCCUCGGAACUGUGCUCUGAGAUCCUUCUGGAGCCCUGGCUCUUUGCUAGGUUUCAGUGAAUGAUUUGGGCCCCAUGGUUGAAGGUACUUGACUUGUCCUUACAGAGUCUCAAAAGAGGACAUGUAAAAAAAUGGUUAAAAAAAAUCAUAUGCUCAGAUCAAAGCUGUAGAAGAAACUUCCUGAUGUAGACCUACGUGGUAGCUGACUUUGUAGAUAACCUAAAACAACAUUUUUUUUUAAAAUAUCUGUUACUAGAAUACUAGUAAAAGGGGAUUAUCAUCCUAGCUUUGCUGUCUGUGGUCUCAGAUGUGUCAGCAGCCCACGAUAAAUCUGUUUCCUCACCUGCAA
Molecule: long non-coding RNA, 759 nt
Organism: Neogale vison (American mink)
Lineage: Eukaryota; Metazoa; Chordata; Mammalia; Carnivora; Mustelidae
Exons: 3
Source: RefSeq, a predicted model, not a curated record